Molecule: ribosomal RNA, 447 nt
Filed under: Triticum aestivum (bread wheat)
Lineage: Eukaryota; Viridiplantae; Streptophyta; Magnoliopsida; Poales; Poaceae
Description: partial small subunit ribosomal RNA
Source: RNAcentral
AUGUAUCAAUCAAUCUGCCACGGAAUCAAGCUAUCAAAGCCUCCACCGGCAACCAGCGAAACCCAUAAUAACCCUACCGAUAUCGCCAUGGCUGAGGGUUGGUGGAAGAGGGCCAGAGCAACGUUGGCCAAACUCCCCCAAAUGGCGCGCGUCAUCCACGACAUGAGGGCCGGUGGUUGCAUCAAGGAGUUUGAGAAGGCGCUGGAGCAGUGCGAGGAAGCCAUGGCCGACAAGAAGCCCAAAGAGGGCGUCUCGUGCGCUAAGGCAACGGCGGCGCUGCGUAAGUGCAUGGAAGGCAAGGACGUCUUGGCGAAGCACCUCGUCGCCUUGGAUGAGGGCAUCAUGGAGGACGAGUGGCGGCGGUGGGAUCCUUAUGUGCAGAAGAAGCUGAAGCUGGACCCGAGGUAUAGGUGGUGGACCGGCAUGAAGAAGAGUGAAGAAGAGUAG